ACUCAAAUGAAUAGACGGGGGCUCGCACAAGUGGUGGAGCAUGCGGUUUAAUUCGAUGCUACGCGAAAAACCUUACCAACCCUUGACAUGGUGGUCAUCGGUCUCAGAGAUGAGACUUUCAGUUCGGCUGGACCACACACAGGUGUUGCAUGGCUGUCGUCAGCUCGUGUCGUGAGAUGUUGGGUUAAGUCCCGCAACGAGCGAAACCCUCAUCCUUAUUUGCCAGCGAUUCGGUCGGGAACUAUAAGGAAACUGCCGGUGAUAAACCGGAGGAAGGUGGGGACGAUGUCAAGUCAUCAUGGCCCUUACGGGUUGGGCUACACGCGUGCUACAAUGGUAUUUACAGAGGGAUGCAAGACGGCGACGUGGAGCAAAUCCUCAAAAAAUAUCUCAGUUCGGAUUGCUCUCUGCAACUCGAGAGCAUGAAGUCGGAAUCACUAGUAAUCGCGGAUCAGCAUGCCGCGGUGAAUACGUUCUCGGGCCUUGUACACACCGCCCGU
This 500-nucleotide ribosomal RNA is filed under the name uncultured bacterium. Its description in RNAcentral is "partial 16S ribosomal RNA". It matches the Rfam family "Bacterial small subunit ribosomal RNA", at positions 899 to 1397 of the family's 1533-position model. The record is from RNAcentral.